UUCCAUGAGCAGGACUCCAUGAGUACUUUAAUGCUCCAACAGGAGCAGCAGUUAGUGAGAGAUGCAAUUAUUUUAAAACAGGAGCUGUUUUUCUGAUGGAUCCCUUAUUGAACAGAGGAGUGGGUGUUGGCAAAAGGAGAAAUCCGAGAAAAGAUCCUCGACGACUGAGAGAAUCUUUAAACAGCCAUGUUGAGAAAAGAAGAAAAGAGUCUCAGAGCAGGAGAGAAGAUGUCCGGCAGAAGAACCUCGAUUUCCUACGUAUUACCUCUGAGACGCAGCAGUAGCUAUCCGUUUCGCCUCCCAGACAUGAGCGGGCAGCUCCUUGGUGGUGUAUCAGAGAUGAUGAUCUAGAACAUCACCAACUAUCUUGGACAUCACGGACACCCAGAACACUGGCCUCCCAUCGAUUCAGACCCAGCAUGUUCACAAAGUCUCCUGAGGCCUCCCAUCUGCAUUGAGAUCUAUAGAACUGGCCUCUAAAACUCUCCAUAAGCCAAUGUGCAAGUGGCCUCGAAGGUUCAAGAGACUAUUAUUUAUUUUCAAUAGUCUAAUCUAAUUCGUAAAAACAGACCCACUACGCUCCAUGACUGCCCAACAAUUUGCUAAUCCGUCACUACAAGGGAAUCCCAAAAUAAUCCCCAAAAUGUCAAUUGUUUACGUCCCAAGUCCGUGGUCCCAAAUAGGUCAUAGAGCCAAGAUGCAAUGUUCAAUCCUUUGUUUGCUGCAGGAUACCGUUGCAACCAACCCCAUCCUGCUACAUUGUGGACUCUCCUCUGUGCUACAGUCUGUUACUCCGUGUAACUCUCUCUCCCAUCAUUAUCCGUUGCUCUCCCAACGCCCUGUCACCGCCUAGACCCUUUUAAAGUUAGUGGGUGCUAUACCUGGGUAAGAAAGUCCCAUCAAUCAUUAAAUGAACUGUUACUGAAUUAUGAAUUACUUGGAUCUUCUUAACAAUCUCCCUUACAUCAGGACAUUUGAAACCCUUUACAUCCUGCUAAAAACUCAUCUGUUCACUAAA
Gadus macrocephalus (Pacific cod) is the source of this 1018-nucleotide long non-coding RNA. RefSeq lists it as uncharacterized. Lineage: Eukaryota; Metazoa; Chordata; Actinopteri; Gadiformes; Gadidae. The record is from RefSeq and is a predicted model, not a curated record. The transcript has 4 exons.